AGUGAACGCUGGCGGCGUGCUUAACACAUGCAAGUCGAACGAGAACGGGUUAUAGCUUGCUAUAAUUGUCAGCUAAGUGGCGCACGGGUGAGUAAUGUAUAGGUAAUAUGCCUCUUACUAAGGGAUAACAAAUGGAAACGUUUGCUAAUACCUUAUACUCCUUAUUAACAUAAGUUAAUAAGGGAAAGAUUUAUUGGUAAGAGAUUAGCCUGUAUUGUAUCAGUUAGUUGGUGGGGUAAUGGCUUACCAAGACUAUGACACAUAACUGGUUUGAGAGGAUGAUCAGUCACACUAGAACUGAGACACGGUCCAGACUCCUACGGGAGGCAGCAGUGGGGAAUAUUGCACAAUGGACGAAAGUCUGAUGCAGCAACGCCGCGUGGAGGAUGACACAUUUCGGUGCGUAAACUCCUUUUAUAUGUGAAGAUAAUGACGGUAUUAUAUGAAUAAGCACCGGCUAACUCCGUGCCAGCCGCCGCCGUAA
RNAcentral lists this ribosomal RNA (484 nucleotides) under uncultured bacterium. RNAcentral describes it as "partial 16S ribosomal RNA". It matches the Rfam family "Bacterial small subunit ribosomal RNA", at positions 29 to 523 of the family's 1533-position model. The record is from RNAcentral.